AUGUUAUGUACGUUUAAUAAAAGGUACAGUCCAUUUCUCAUGGCUUGCUAUGAUCCCGACACUGAUGAAUAUCAAAGUGUCUGUCGUGUAAUGUCCGGCUUCAGGAAGGUGAAGAUGGCUUCUGGUGGUCAAGAUUUGAUAUGGCCUCUUUCUCUGUCUCCACUCUCAAAACCCUAGCUCCACACCAUAUUCUUCAAAAAUGAGGGUGGGAUGCGACAUAGAUGAUGAGAAUCCGAGUCUAGAUUCGACUUGCUAGAAUAUUUUGUGCAGUUGCGUGUUUCAAAAACGAAGAUGAAGGAGCGGAGGUGAAAGAGAACACAAACAAGAUUUUAGCCGUCUUUUUUGCUGAAUUUGGUAUCACAAGUGAUGCAGCAUUGAAGGUCGGUAUGUUCGAGUUGGGUCGCGUCGGGUCAUUUGUUUAUUAAAUGUAUCUCGUGUGGGAAUUGAGUUUGGUUAGGAUGAUAAGUAGUGGAGUUCUGUUUUUCUUUAAUUUCUUGAUCACUCAAAUGAAACUGGUUAAAUUUUUCGCAUUUUUAUGUUAUUGAAUGACACUAUUUACUUAAGUUGUUAUUGUUAACAUCUAUGAAGACAUUUUUUAAUUUAUUAUUGUAUUAACAAUUAA
Helianthus annuus (common sunflower) is the source of this 622-nucleotide long non-coding RNA. RefSeq lists it as uncharacterized. Lineage: Eukaryota; Viridiplantae; Streptophyta; Magnoliopsida; Asterales; Asteraceae. The record is from RefSeq and is a predicted model, not a curated record. The transcript is spliced from 2 exons.